This 377-nucleotide ribosomal RNA is filed under the name uncultured candidate division TA06 bacterium. RNAcentral describes it as "bacterial SSU rRNA". It matches the Rfam family "Bacterial small subunit ribosomal RNA", at positions 521 to 896 of the family's 1533-position model. The record is from RNAcentral.
UAAUACGGGGGGGACAAGCGUUGUUCGGAUUUACUGGGCGUAAAGGGCGCGUAGGCGGACCAUCAAGUCGGAUGUGAAACCCGGCAGCUUAACUGCCGGCCUGCAUACGAUACUGUUGGUCUUGAGUACAUGAGAGGAAGGCGGAAUUCCAGGUGUAGCGGUGAAAUGCGUAGAUAUCUGGAGGAACACCAGUAGCGAAGGCGGCCUUCUGGCGUGAUACUGACGCUCAAGCGCGAAGGCUAGGGUAGCAAACAGGAUUAGAUACCCUGGUAGUCCUAGCGGUAAACGAUGGGUACUAGGUGUCGGAGGUAUUGACCCCUUCGGUGCCGCAGCUAACGCAUUAAGUACCCCGCCUGGGGAGUACGGUCGCAAGAUUG